Pectinophora gossypiella (pink bollworm) is the source of this 1748-nucleotide long non-coding RNA. RefSeq lists it as uncharacterized. The transcript has 3 exons. The record is from RefSeq and is a predicted model, not a curated record. Lineage: Eukaryota; Metazoa; Arthropoda; Insecta; Lepidoptera; Gelechiidae.
CCGCCUGCAAGAGGGGAGAAUCUGCAUCAUUCAUUCAAUCGGUGUACCAUGUGCGUGCGGCCUAUAGUACAACGGCGCCACGGCAUAUCAGCCAAUCACGGACAAGCGGGAAUUUUGACGCAGAGUGGCAACCAAUCACAGCAAGGUGAGGCACAGCAACUGUACUAAUUAUAAUAACCGGCAAUGGGAGAGACGUCAGAGACGACGAGCGACAAGCGUCUUCCUUCAUCAUUUAAUUGCGGCAAGAGAGUAGAGAGAGUAUGAGAUACCUAUGUAAACAAGGGCACGCUGACACGGAUUUUUAAUUUCCGUGGCUAGCGAAUAAUUCAAUAAAGCGACUAGGACACUUUAAACGUUCGCAAGUCGCGGCUCGAGACGUCAUUCAAGGAGUACGAGUUUGAUGUGGAAAUAAUGCAGCUUAGUGAUGAUGACAAGGAAGAUGUGUAUAUGGGAAAUUAUUACUCGGCCCUAAGUUCCCUGAGCAGCCAAAUGUCUUUGCUCUCCGGCACGGUUAUUCGCCCAGCACGCCGUCAACGGCGUCUGCCAGACUCAAUCUACGUCAAAUACAAAAUAAACCUUUCACCGCACUGAUUAGAUACCUUCACGGCACAAGCAUGUCAGAUAGAAAGAGACCUGAAGACCGACUCAUCGCUCAGGGAGUUCCUUGAGUACGAACGAACGAUGAGCCUUGGCUCUGGAAACUGCUCACCAGGGUAUGGCAAGGAAGAAACUUGCUGUCAACGUCGCUACCAACUCGGGAGCCUCCGGAUGUCUAAAAUGUUAGUCAGAGCGCCUCUCAUCGUAUAAUGAGCAGCCUACGCCGCCCUUCAUAAACACCAAGUACCCCACUACUCUAAUAACGCAGUGAAGUUCACGGGUGCAGACAACUAGUUUGCUGAGUUGCACAAGCUGCUCGCAUCUCUGAUCCACCAAACACAGGUGACAUUCCAUGCUUCUCACCUGUGUUUGGUGGCCUCUACUCUCCUUCACUGUUUUGUGUCAGAUUGAAGCCAUGCUAAACUUUGGUUCAUUUUUCACUAACAACAAUUUUUUAUGAAUAUUGUUAUGAUGUUUUCUUUUUGUGUUUUUUUUGUGACUAUAAACAGAUGAGUUGUGUUUAUAUGGCAUGGAGGACGCUACUCCCAGCGAAGGCAGUCCUUUCUUUGAAGUAGUCAUUCGGUCUGACUGUCCUUAUCGAAAAAGUCUCGUUUCUUUUUUAGACAACGUAUGGUUUCUGGAAUGGUUAGUUGCCCCGCAAAAUGAUUUGGGUGCAUUUCUAAUCUUUUUUUGUACUGCGUUCCACGAUUGCAUAUUUCAUUGGUACAUUUAGAAUUUCGUGCACUUCUAUUGUUUUGAUGAACCAUGGUGCGUUGUAUAAAUGUUUUAAUAUGUAGUUUUGCACCCUUUGUAUUACCAUUACAUUAGAAGCGCUGGCAGAGCCCCACAGUUCUAUGCCGUAUGUCCAAAUCGGUUUUAGAAUUGCUGUGUAAACUAGUAACUUGUUGUCAGUAGUUAGUUUAGAGUUUCGACCCAGCAGCCAAUAUAGACCCUUGUAUUGUUAUGAUGUAUAAUGUUUUCUUUUUAAGAAUAACUGUUGUAGAUGUACCUAUAGUUGGGUUAAAUAGUUCAUCUUACUAUUUAAGCUAAUUAUUACUAUUUGUACUUAACUUUUCUCAAUCUGUUGAAAAUGUAUCUUGUAACUACUGUAAAUAAUUCAAUGUUAUUUCAAUAUAGUCCGCUUUACACUA